AUUAUGGCUCAGGAUGAACGCUAGCUACAGGCUUAACACAUGCAAGUCGAGGGGCAUCAGGGACUGUGCUUGCACAGUUGCUGGCGACCGGCGCACGGGUGAGUAACGCGUAUCCAACCUUCCCCUUAGUAGGGCAUAGCCCGUAGAAAUGCGGAUUAAUACCCUAUGUUCUUCGUCGAAGACAUCUGAAGUGAAGCAAAGAUUCAUCGCUAAGGGAUGGGGAUGCGUCUGAUUAGGCAGCAGGCGGGGUAACGGCCCACCUGGCCGACGAUCAGUAGGGGUUCUGAGAGGAAGGUCCCCCACAUUGGAACUGAGACACGGUCCAAACUCCUACGGGAGGCAGCAGUGAGGAAUAUUGGUCAAUGGUCGAGAGACUGAACCAGCCAAGUAGCGUGCAGGAUGACGGCCCUAUGGGUUGUAAACUGCUUUUAUGCGGGGAUAAAGUUCACUACGUGUAGUGUUUUGUAGGUACCGCAUGAAUAAGGACCGGCUAAUUCCGUGCCAGCAGCCGC
Molecule: ribosomal RNA, 512 nt
Filed under: uncultured bacterium
Lineage: Bacteria
Description: bacterial SSU rRNA
Rfam family: Bacterial small subunit ribosomal RNA
Source: RNAcentral